RNAcentral lists this ribosomal RNA (791 nucleotides) under uncultured bacterium. Its description in RNAcentral is "bacterial SSU rRNA". It matches the Rfam family "Bacterial small subunit ribosomal RNA", at positions 8 to 794 of the family's 1533-position model. The record is from RNAcentral.
AGAGUUUGAUCAUGGCUCAGGAUGAACGCUAGCGGCAGGCUUAACACAUGCAAGUCGAGGGGCAGCGGGGUGUAGCAAUACAUCGCCGGCGACCGGCGCACGGGUGCGUAACACGUAUGGAAUCUGCCCUGUACUGGGGAAUAGCCCUCCGAAAGGAGGAUUAAUACCCCGUAAUAGCUUGAGUGGCAUCACUCGGGUUUGAAAGCUCCGGCGGUACAGGAUGACCAUGCGCACGAUUAGCUAGUAGGUGAGGUAACGGCUCACCUAGGCUACGAUCGUUAGGGGGCCUGAGAGGGUUAUCCCCCACACUGGUACUGAGACACGGUCCAGACUCCUACGGGAGGCAGCAGUAGGGAAUAUUGGACAAUGGGCGAAAGCCUGAUCCAGCCAUGCCGCGUGGUAGAUGAAGGCCCUCUGGGUUGUAAAUACCUUUUAUCUGGGAAGAAAUAUCUCGUUCUCGAGAAACUGACGGUACCAGAUGAAUAAGCACCGGCUAACUCCGUGCCAGCAGCCGCGGUAAUACGGAGGGUGCAAGCGUUAUCCGGAUUCACUGGGUUUAAAGGGUGCGUAGGCGGAAUUGUAAGUCAGUGGUGAAAGCCCCGAGCUUAACUUGGGAACUGCCAUUGAUACUGCUUUUCUUGAAUGCGAUUGAGGUAAGCGGAAUGUUGCAUGUAGCGGUGAAAUGCUUAGAUAUGUUACAGAACUCCAAUUGUGAAGACAGCUUACUAAGUCGUGAUUGACGCUGAGGCACGAAAGCGUGGGGAGCAAACAGGAUUAGAUACCCCGGUAGU